CAGCAGCCGCGGUAAUACGAAGGGUGCAAGCGUUAAUCGGAAUUACUGGGCGUAAAGCGUGCGUAGGCGGUGAGUUAAGUCUGCUGUGAAAUCCCCGGGCUCAACCUGGGAACUGCAUUUGUGACUGUAUAGCUAGAGUACGGCAGAGGGGGAUGGAAUUCCGCGUGUAGCAGUGAAAUGCGUAGAUAUGCGGAGGAACACCGAUGGCGAAGGCAAUCCCCUGGGCCUGUACUGACGCUCAUGCACGAAAGCGUGGGGAGCAAACAGGAUUAGAUACCCCCGUAGUCCCUGUCUCUUAUAC
This 301-nucleotide ribosomal RNA is filed under the name uncultured bacterium. RNAcentral's name for it is "partial 16S ribosomal RNA". It matches the Rfam family "Bacterial small subunit ribosomal RNA", at positions 509 to 807 of the family's 1533-position model. The record is from RNAcentral.